RNAcentral lists this ribosomal RNA (447 nucleotides) under uncultured bacterium. RNAcentral describes it as "bacterial SSU rRNA". It matches the Rfam family "Bacterial small subunit ribosomal RNA", at positions 355 to 825 of the family's 1533-position model. The record is from RNAcentral.
UGGGGAAUAUUGGACAAUGGGCGAAAGCCUGAUCCAGCCAUGCCGCGUGAGUGACGAAGGCCUUAGGGUUGUAAAACUCUUUCGUCGGGGACGAUAAUGACGGUACCUGGAGAAUAAGCCCCGGCAAACUUCGUGCCAGCAGCCGCGGUAAUACGAAGGGGGCUAGCGUUGUUCGGAAUUACUGGGCGUAAAGCGCACGUAGGCGGAUUGUUAAGUCAGAGGUGAAAUCCCGGAGCUCAACUUCGGAACUGCCUUUGAUACUGGCAAUCUAGAGUCCGGAAGAGGUUAGUGGAAUUCCCAGUGUAGAGGUGAAAUUCGUAGAUAUUGGGAAGAACACCAGUGGCGAAGGCGGCUAACUGGUCCGGUACUGACGCUGAGGUGCGAAAGCGUGGGGAGCAAACAGGAUUAGAUACCCACGUAGUCCCUGAGCGGGCUGGCAAGGCGCAU